This 253-nucleotide ribosomal RNA is filed under the name uncultured bacterium. Its description in RNAcentral is "partial 16S ribosomal RNA". It matches the Rfam family "Bacterial small subunit ribosomal RNA", at positions 524 to 776 of the family's 1533-position model. The record is from RNAcentral.
UACGUAUGGUGCAAGCGUUAUCCGGAUUUACUGAGUGUAAAGGGAGCGCAGGCGGCACGGCAAGCCUGAUGUGAAAGCCCGCGGCCCAACCGCGGGACUGCAUUGGGAACUACCGGGCUGGAGUGCCGGAGAGGUAGGCGGAAUUCCUAGUGUAGCGGUGAAAUGCGUAGAUAUUAGGAGGAACACCAGUGGCGAAGGCGGCCUACUGGACGGUGACUGACGCUGAGGCUCGAAAGCGUGGGGAGCAAACAGG